CCACAGCUCGGUAACCAGCCUCAGCCAGCCUUUUCAGUGUGCCCAGGUUCUGCCAGGUCUCAGAGGAGAAGCGGAUGCCAUGCAACAGCAGCACAGAGAAGCGGGCAGCCUGUCCGCCGCCUGGCACAACCUCUCUGUAGAACAGGCUCUGGCCUUGGACCUGGAUGGUGCCCUGCCGCUCCUCUGUGCCCGCCAUAUCUGCUGCUGUGAGGUGAAGGGCCUGUGAAGAAGCCACAGAAGAGUCUGCCAAGGUGCAGUUUGAGGACAGCCACCAAGAGCGUGGCUGAGAGGAUUAAAGGAGCACCGGACAGCAGCCCUGGCUGGGAAGAAGACUGGAAGCUGGGACUUCAGGCCCAAGGCGGGGCGGUCAAGAUUGGAGCCAAAAACACACUUUCCGGAGGCGGAAACCGCGCAGAGCAGAGAAAGACUUUGGAGUUCCAGCCCCCAAGGACCGCCGGGUGCUCCAAGCCGGGCCCACUGGGGGCCCAAACCAAAGGGCCCGUGGUCUGGCGCGAUCACCUGCGCGCCACCGCUCUCCCCACCCCCUCCGCCGACCUCUGGCACUGGAUCGCUGGGCCUGGUAGGGUGCAUGGGGAGGUUGAUGGGGGCAGACUCUGGGGAGCCGAAAUAGAAAGAGGAGAGGCGAGGGGUAGGGAUAGGGAGGGGAGUCUAGUUGGAGAGAAGAUGGAGGACGAACAGC
Sorex fumeus (smoky shrew) is the source of this 700-nucleotide long non-coding RNA. RefSeq lists it as uncharacterized. The transcript is spliced from 3 exons. NCBI's taxonomy places the organism in Eukaryota, Metazoa, Chordata, Mammalia, Eulipotyphla, Soricidae. The record is from RefSeq and is a predicted model, not a curated record.